UUCAACAUCUUCCUGAACAAAGCAUGCCCUGAUGCCAGAACCAGAGGCAACCUCGUUUACGUGGAUGAUGUGCUGUUGAAAAGCUCAAAUGUGACAGACCACCUCAAAGAAAUCGAUCACGUCCUGAACCAGCUGACAACAGCAGGAGCAAAGAUCGCCCUCCACAAAGGACAAUGGUGCAAAACCAAAGUAAAAUACGUCGGUCUGCUAAUUGGACGGGACGGUAUUGAACCACAGUCCAGUCGCACCCAAGCAAUCCAAAACAUAAAGACACCCACUAACAUUUCUGAGCUACGAAGCUUUCUGGGAGUGUGCAAUUACUCACGACAGUUCAUUGAAAACUACGCUGACAUCGCACGACCACUAACCUCCCUCCUGAGAAAGGACGAACCCUUCAACUGGUCUGAAGCCCAAGACAAGGCUAUGAGCGAGCUCAAGCAACGUCUGUGCGCUGCACAAUGCCUGGCCUACCCAGACCCAGGAAAAGAGUUCUAUCUGGACGCUGGAUUCUCCAAUCACUGCCUCAGUGCAGGCCUGUACCAGCUCCAUGACAAAGACAAGCGAGUGGUCGCUUAUGCCAGUAAAACACUGCUUCCCCCAGAAUGCAAAUACUCAGAUUGCGAAAAAGCUUUGCUUUGCACUGUGUGGGCCAUCCAGCGUUUCUCCAACUACAUUGGAGCUCAGAAGGUUAUCAUUGAAACCUGUCACCAGCCAGUAACCUUCCUCAACAGCCGACGAAUCAGGGAUGGCGUGGUAACCAACGCACGCAUUGCUACUUGGCUAAUGACACUCCAAGGAAAGGACGUCGAAGCAAGAUAUGCCCAAAACCACAGAUCAUAUCUAGGAAACGGGCUAGCAGCCUGCCAGAACUGUUCAACGGACACGCUGCACACAGCAGCAGAACCCAAAGAACCGUUACCGCCACAACUGACAAACCACAGGUACUUCGAGGAGAAUGUGUGUGAAGGAAUGCCCACAGCAUAUGUCGAUGGCUGCUCCUACAAUCAACAGGGCAACUUGAAAGCUGGAGCGGGAGUGGUCUGGCUCAACAAUGACCCGUGCCCGCCGCAACAAUUCAAAUUAGGCCCUCACUCAUCGCAAUAUGCAGAAAUUGCAGCCAUCCUCAUCACCCUACAACUUGCUGCAUCCCACAACAUCAAAGAACUCCUCAUCUGUACCGACUCGAACUACGCCCGUCUAAGCUUCACAUGCCAUCUAGCUGGAUGGAAACAGAAUGGAUUCAAGACAGCUAACAACAAGCCUGUCAAACAUCAGGAACUCUUCCAAGCAUGCGAAGCCAUUGUCACUGAACAUGACAUGAUCGUUUAUUGGAAAAAGGUCCAAGGCCACUCACGUCAACCAGG
This 1364-nucleotide long non-coding RNA is filed under the name Sinocyclocheilus grahami. RNAcentral's name for it is "lncRNA (ENSSGRG00000021876.1)". The record is from RNAcentral. Lineage: Eukaryota; Metazoa; Chordata; Actinopteri; Cypriniformes; Cyprinidae.